Molecule: ribosomal RNA, 245 nt
Filed under: uncultured Eubacteriales bacterium
Lineage: Bacteria; Bacillati; Bacillota; Clostridia; Eubacteriales
Description: uncultured Clostridiales bacterium partial 16S ribosomal RNA
Rfam family: Bacterial small subunit ribosomal RNA
Source: RNAcentral
CACGCCGUAAACGCUGAUUACUAGGUGUAGGGGGUAUAGACUCCCUCUGUGCCGCAGUUAACGCAUUAAGUAAUCCACCUGGGGAGUACGGCCGCAAGGUUAAAACUCAAAGGAAUUGACGGGGACCCGCACAAGCAGUGGAGUAUGUGGUUUAAUUCGACGCAACGCGAAGAACCUUACCAAGGCUUGACAUCCUCUGACCGCUGUAGAAAUACAGCUUCUCUUCGGAGCAGAGAGACAGGUGG